CAGGAAUGAGUCCCACACUGGAAUAACAGAGAAUGAGUGAGGGUCUGCACAAGGGCUUUAGGAACUGAAGACCCACCAGACUGAUUACAUGCAAGACUUGAACCAGUCUAGGACAACAGGAAGACAAUGUGCUUAGCAAACACAAGUUACAGAAAGCAACAGCUAAUUCAGCAUAUCCCACAAGAGGUAUAGAAUUCGUCCAAGAAGUUCUUGAAUGUGUCCCUUAAAGUCAUGGUAAAGACAAAGUGCAAGAUGAAAGGAAUAGCUGCCUGCAGAGUGAUCCUGGAUAACUGCAUACCACAGGAUAUUGUCACCAGCUGGAAUAGCAUUCAGGAUUCAGGCUAAUAACACAAUGGUAUGGUAUGACUGGGAUACGAAUAUUUUAGAACACAGCAUCAUACAUAUCAGAAAGCAAACAUCACAGUGAGGAGUACUGCAUUAACACCCCACUUCUGAG
Neopsephotus bourkii (Bourke's parrot) is the source of this 457-nucleotide long non-coding RNA. RefSeq lists it as uncharacterized. The record is from RefSeq and is a predicted model, not a curated record. The transcript is spliced from 4 exons. Lineage: Eukaryota; Metazoa; Chordata; Aves; Psittaciformes; Psittacidae.